RNAcentral lists this transfer RNA (74 nucleotides) under bacterium. RNAcentral describes it as "tRNA-Trp". It matches the Rfam family "tRNA". From Rfam's summary of the family: Transfer RNA (tRNA) molecules are approximately 80 nucleotides in length. The record is from RNAcentral.
GCGGGAUUCGUAUAGUGGCAGUACGGCGGUCUCCAAAACCGCAUGCGGGGGUUCGAUUCCUCCAUCCCGUGCCA